CAUGCAAGUCGAGCGGAGUUUUGAAAAGCUUGCUUUUCAAAACUUAGCGGCGGACGGGUGAGUAACACGUGGGCAACCUGCCCUUGAGACGGGGAUAACUCCGGGAAACCGGAGCUAAUACCGGAUAACACAUAUCUUCGCAUGAGGAUAUGUUAGAAGGUGGCUUUUAGCUACCACUCAAGGAUGGGCCCGCGGCGCAUUAGCUAGUUGGUGAGGUAACGGCUCACCAAGGCGACGAUGCGUAGCCGACCUGAGAGGGUGAUCGGCCACACUGGGACUGAGACACGGCCCAGACUCCUACGGGAGGCAGCAGUAGGGAAUCUUCCGCAAUGGACGAAAGUCUGACGGAGCAACGCCGCGUGAGUGAUGAAGGUUUUCGGAUCGUAAAGCUCUGUUGUUAGGGAAGAACAAGUACCUGUUGAAUAAGCAGGUACCUUGACGGUACCUAACCAGAAAGCCACGGCUAACUACGUGCCAGCAGCCGCGGUAAUACGUAGGUGGCAAGCGUUGUCCGGAAUUAUUGGGCGUAAAGCGCGCGCAGGCGGUUCCUUAAGUCUGAUGUGAAAGCCCACGGCUCAACCGUGGAGGGUCAUUGGAAACUGGGGAACUUGAGUGCAGAAGAGGAGAGCGGAAUUCCACGUGUAGCGGUGAAAUGCGUAGAGAUGUGGAGGAACACCAGUGG
This 682-nucleotide ribosomal RNA is filed under the name uncultured bacterium. RNAcentral's name for it is "bacterial SSU rRNA". It matches the Rfam family "Bacterial small subunit ribosomal RNA", at positions 54 to 715 of the family's 1533-position model. The record is from RNAcentral.